UACAGAGACCUCAAGCGUUGUCCGGAAUUAUUGGGCGUAAAGAGCUCGUAGGCGGUGUGUCGCGUCGGCCGUGAAAACCUGCAGCUUAACUGUGGGCUUGCGGUCGAUACGGGCAUCACUGGAGUUCGGCAGGGGAGACUGGAAUUCCUGGUGUAGCGGUGAAAUGCGCAGAUAUCAGGAGGAACACCGGUGGCGAAGGCGGGUCUCUGGGCCGAUACUGACGCUGAGGAGCGAAAGCGUGGGGAGCGAACAGG
Molecule: ribosomal RNA, 254 nt
Filed under: uncultured bacterium
Lineage: Bacteria
Description: partial 16S ribosomal RNA
Rfam family: Bacterial small subunit ribosomal RNA
Source: RNAcentral